AGAGGUAUAGUUCAGAUGGUAGAACAUCGGUCUCCAAAACCGAGUGUCGCGAGUUCGAGUCUUGUUACCUCUGCCA
Molecule: transfer RNA, 76 nt
Filed under: Mesoplasma florum
Lineage: Bacteria; Bacillati; Mycoplasmatota; Mollicutes; Entomoplasmatales; Entomoplasmataceae
Description: tRNA-Trp
Rfam family: tRNA
About the family: Transfer RNA (tRNA) molecules are approximately 80 nucleotides in length. Their secondary structure includes four short double-helical elements and three loops (D, anti-codon, and T loops). Further hydrogen bonds mediate the characteristic L-shaped molecular structure. tRNAs have two regions of fundamental functional importance: the anti-codon, which is responsible for specific mRNA codon recognition, and the 3' end, to which the tRNAs corresponding amino acid is attached (by aminoacyl-tRNA synthetases). tRNAs cope with the degeneracy of the genetic code in two manners: having more than one tRNA (with a specific anti-codon) for a particular amino acid; and 'wobble' base-pairing, i.e. permitting non-standard base-pairing at the 3rd anti-codon position.
Source: RNAcentral